CGCGCAGGUGGUUUCUUAAGUCUGAUGUGAAAGCCCACGGCUCAACCGUGGAGGGUCAUUGGAAACUGGGAGACUUGAGUGCAGAAGAGGAAAGUGGAAUUCCAUGUGUAGCGGUGAAAUGCGUAGAGAUAUGGAGGAACACCAGUGGCGAAGGCGACUUUCUGGUCUGUAACUGACACUGAGGCGCGAAAGCGUGGGGAGCAAACA
This 207-nucleotide ribosomal RNA is filed under the name uncultured bacterium. Its description in RNAcentral is "partial 16S ribosomal RNA". It matches the Rfam family "Bacterial small subunit ribosomal RNA", at positions 568 to 774 of the family's 1533-position model. The record is from RNAcentral.